UACGAAGGGGGCUAGCGUUGCUCGGAAUGACUGGGCGUAAAGGGCGCGUAGGCGGAUUGCUUUGUCAGACGUGAAAUUCCAGGGCUCAACCUUGGGGCUGCGUUUGAGACGGGUGAUCUUGAGUUCGGAAGAGGGUCGUGGAAUUCCCAGUGUAGAGGUGAAAUUCGUAGAUAUUGGGAAGAACACCGGUGGCGAAGGCGGCGACCUGGUCCGAGACUGACGCUGAGGCGCGAAAGCGUGGGGAGCAAACAGG
RNAcentral lists this ribosomal RNA (253 nucleotides) under uncultured bacterium. Its description in RNAcentral is "partial 16S ribosomal RNA". It matches the Rfam family "Bacterial small subunit ribosomal RNA", at positions 524 to 776 of the family's 1533-position model. The record is from RNAcentral.